CGGAGAAGGAGCCUGAGAAAUGGCUACCACAUCUAAGGAAGGCAGCAGGCGCGUAAAUUACCCAAUCCUAAUUCAGGGAGGUAGUGACAAGAAAUAACAACUCGGACCUCACAUGAGGUUACGGGAUUGCAAUGAGAACAAUUUAAACCACUUAUCGAGCAACAAUUGGAGGGCAAGUCUGGUGCCAGCAGCCGCGGUAAUUCCAGCUCCAAUAGCGUAUAUUAAAGUUGUUGCAGUUAAAAAGCUCGUAGUUGAAUUUCUGGCCAGCGCUGUUCUUGGCUCUCUGAUCGGCUCAGUGUUUGGUCAUCCGUAUGGGAACUAGCUCGGCCUUCACUGGUCGGCUAGUGGAUCAUACACUUUACUUUGAAAAAGAUUAGAGUGUUCAGGCAGGCAAUUGCUUGGAUACUCCAGCAUGGAAUAAUGGAAUAGGACUUUGACCUAUUUGUUGGUUUCUUCAGUCAAGGUAAUGAUUAAUAGGACAGUUGGGGGCAUUCAUAUUUAAUUGUCAGAGUGAAAUUCUUGGAUUUAUUAAAGACGAACUACUGCGAAAGCAUUACCAAGGAUGUUUUCAUUAAUCAAGAACGAAUAGUUGAGGGGAUCGAAGAUGAUUAAGAUGUACUGAUCAGAUACCUUCAGUCUUAACCAUUCAAAACUAUACCGACUAGGGAUUGGUGAGUCUUCUAUCUCAUGAGCACUCAAUGUGAAAUCUUGGGGGGUUCUGGGGGGAGUAUGGUCACAAGGCUGAAACUUAAAGGAAUCGACGGAAGGGCACCACCAGGAGUGGAGCUUGCGGCUUAAUUUGACUCAACACGGGGAAACUUACCAGGUCCAGACAUAGUUAGGAUUGACAGAUUGAGAGCUCUUUCUUGAUUCUAUGGGUGGUGGUGCAUGGCCGUUCUUAGUUGGUGGAGUGAUUCGUCUGGUUAAUUCCGUUAACGAACGAGACCUUAACCUGCUAACUAGUUACUCUUAUGUAAAUAGGAGGCUAACUUGUUAGAGGGACUUUAUGUGCAAGCAUAAGGAAGUUUGAGGCAAUAACAAGGUCUGAGGAUGCCAUUAAGAUGUCUGGGCCGCAACGCGCGCUACACUGACAACAUGCAACAAGUUUAUUUUUCCUGGCUCGGAAGGGUUCGGGUAAUCUUGUAUAAUGUGUGUCGUGCUAGGGAUAGAUCUUUGGAAUUAUAGAUCUUGAACGAGGAAUUCCUAGUAAGCAUAAGUCAUCAGCUUGUGCUGAUUACGUCCCUGCCCUUUGUACACACCGCCCGUGACUCGUACAGCCUGGGAGUGAUCCGGUGAACCUUAACGACCGUGAGCAGGCUUGACCUGAUCGUGGGAAGUUAAGUAAACCUUAUCACUUAGACGAAGGAGAAGUCGUAACAAGGUAACC
This 1387-nucleotide ribosomal RNA is filed under the name uncultured alveolate. Its description in RNAcentral is "SSU rRNA". It matches the Rfam family "Eukaryotic small subunit ribosomal RNA", at positions 384 to 1804 of the family's 1831-position model. The record is from RNAcentral.